GGAAUAUAAGAAUUUGUCUCUUAACUUUUAACUAAAAAAGCUAACAACUGGUUUUUAAUAUUUAAGAACCGGUUUUUAGCUUUUUUAAUUAAAAGUUAAGAGACAGAUUCUUAUAUUCC
Molecule: non-coding RNA, 119 nt
Organism: Brassica napus (rape)
Lineage: Eukaryota; Viridiplantae; Streptophyta; Magnoliopsida; Brassicales; Brassicaceae
Source: Rfam